Molecule: ribosomal RNA, 345 nt
Filed under: Tilapia brevimanus
Lineage: Eukaryota; Metazoa; Chordata; Actinopteri; Cichliformes; Cichlidae
Description: partial 12S ribosomal RNA
Rfam family: Bacterial small subunit ribosomal RNA
Source: RNAcentral
UUUGAUAGUUCCUACAAUUUCUAUCCGCCCGGGUACUACGAGCACUAGCUUAAAACCCAAAGGACUUGGCGGUGCUUUAGAUCCACCUAGAGGAGCCUGUUCUAGAACCGAUAACCCCCGUUAAACCUCACCCUCUCUUGUUAUUUCCGCCUAUAUACCGCCGUCGUCAGCCUACCCUAUGAAGGAAUCACAGUAAGCAAGGCCAGCAUAGCUCAAAACGCCAGGUCGAGGUGUAGCAUAUGAGAGGGGAAGAAAUGGGCUACAUUCUCUGUGACAGAGAAUACGGAUAAUGCAAUGAAAUGUGCAUUARAAGGAGGAUUUAGUAGUAAGCAGAAAAAUAGAGCG